GACGAACGCUGGCGGCGUGCCUAACACAUGCAAGUCGAGCGGAGUUGGAAGAAGCUGCAGAGAUGUAGCGGGAGCCGACUUAGCGGCGAACGGGUGAGUAACACGUGGGCAAUCUGCCCUCUGGAGCGGGAUAACAGACCGAAAGGCCUGCUAAUACCGCAUGAGGCCUAGGAGUCGCAUGGCAUUUAGGUCAAAGGGGAAACCCGCCGGAGGAGGAGCCCGCGUCCCAUUAGCUAGUUGGCGGUGUAACUGACCACCAAGGCGAUGAUGGGUAGCCGGCCUGAGAGGGUGAACGGCCACAUUGGGACUGAGACACGGCCCAGACUCCUACGGGGGGCAGCAGUGAGGGAUUUUCGGCAAUGGGCGAAAGCCUGACCGAGCGACGCCGCGUGAGCGAAGAAGGCCUUCGGUCGUAAAGCUCUGUCUAGGGGACGGAGAGAGGACGGUACCCCGUCGGAGGAAGCCGACGGACUAACCGUACGUACGCCACGCAGCCGCGGUAAACUGUAGU
RNAcentral lists this ribosomal RNA (511 nucleotides) under uncultured bacterium. RNAcentral describes it as "bacterial SSU rRNA". It matches the Rfam family "Bacterial small subunit ribosomal RNA", at positions 28 to 531 of the family's 1533-position model. The record is from RNAcentral.